This is a long non-coding RNA of Dicentrarchus labrax (European seabass), 402 nucleotides long. RefSeq lists it as uncharacterized. The record is from RefSeq and is a predicted model, not a curated record. The transcript has 3 exons. NCBI's taxonomy places the organism in Eukaryota, Metazoa, Chordata, Actinopteri, Moronidae.
UGUUUUCUAACAGCCGAAGAGUCAUACUACAAACAUGACGUUGAGAUUACAUACAGGAAGUGUCGCACCGAGCUGAGGACGGAGUUAUACGAGGACAUGAGCAGAAAUGAACUCAGAUCAAACGGCUUUCUGCCCGCUCGCCUCUUCAUCGCAGCUUCUGCACCCUGCGCUCACAGAAGUCAUUAUUACAACCUCCUAUAAAUGAGGAGAAAGCUGCCUGUUGCUGGCAGAGGAUGGAGGUAAGGAGUCCAGCCCCAUCAGAGCUGUCAGGACAUUUGACUGAUGUCUAACCUGGUCCUCCCUGCAGCACGGACACCUGCUGCGAGCGCCAGACUUCUGUGCACCUUGUGCCUGUCGUGCAGAAGUUCUCCUCUUCCUCCCGUAAUGAUGGUCUUUCAGGUG